CCCUUAGAUGUUCUGGGCCGCACGCGCGCUACACUGUUCGACGCAGCGAGUCUUAACCUUGACCGAAAGGUUUGGGUAAUCUUCAGCAAAGUCGAACGUGAUGGGGAUCGAUCAUUGCAAUUAUUGAUCGUGAACGAGGAAUUCCUAGUAAGUGCAAGUCAUCAGCUUGCGCUGAAUACGUCCCUGCCCUUUGUACACACCGCCCGUCGCUCCUACCGAUUGAGUGGUCCGGUGAGGCUUUGGGAUCUGAGCGGAAAGAGCGUUUCGCUGUUUCUGCUCGGAAAACUCAGUCGAACCUUAUCAUUUAGAGGAAGGAGAAGUCGUAACA
RNAcentral lists this ribosomal RNA (328 nucleotides) under uncultured eukaryote. RNAcentral describes it as "partial 18S ribosomal RNA". It matches the Rfam family "Eukaryotic small subunit ribosomal RNA", at positions 1470 to 1796 of the family's 1831-position model. The record is from RNAcentral.